CUUCAACGGCCCAGGCUGGGAUGUUUUCACCCUGUGUCACUCUCUGGGGCCUCCCGCCAGCCCUUUUCCGGUUCUUUCUCUGUCCUGCCUCCCCGGACCCCUCGCUGCCCGGUCAAGUGGUUAGUUGUGCGUUUGCCUGGUACUGCGGUGUGAAAGUCAAGGCAUCAGCUGGAGAGACGACACCUCAAAACCCACGGAGCAGCCCCCACGCCCCUCACCCCCAGGGCAGCCACACGCAGUGACAUGCAACUCCCAGUGUCUUUGGGUUUAUUUAGCAAGAGGGAGUACUACAUCACCAUGGUGAAGUGGGCCACCAGCACCAAGGUCGCCGUGACCUGGCUGAACCGGGCGCAGAACGUGUCCAUCCUCACCCUCUGCGACGCCACCACGGGGGUCUGCACAAAGAAACACGAGGAUGAAAGUGAGGCCUGGCUCCACAGACAGAAUGAAGAACCUGUGUUCUCCAAGGAUGGCCGAAAGUUUUUCUUCAUCAGAGCCAUCCCCCAGGGAGGACGAGGGAAAUUCUAUCACAU
RNAcentral lists this small RNA (533 nucleotides) under Pongo abelii (Sumatran orangutan). Its description in RNAcentral is "processed transcript". The record is from RNAcentral. Lineage: Eukaryota; Metazoa; Chordata; Mammalia; Primates; Hominidae.